GACUCUGUGGCCAAUCGGUUAGCACGUUCGGCUGUUAACUGAAAGGUUGGUGGUUCAAGCCCACCCAGGGACG
Molecule: transfer RNA, 73 nt
Filed under: Danio rerio (zebrafish)
Lineage: Eukaryota; Metazoa; Chordata; Actinopteri; Cypriniformes; Danionidae
Rfam family: tRNA
About the family: Transfer RNA (tRNA) molecules are approximately 80 nucleotides in length. Their secondary structure includes four short double-helical elements and three loops (D, anti-codon, and T loops). Further hydrogen bonds mediate the characteristic L-shaped molecular structure. tRNAs have two regions of fundamental functional importance: the anti-codon, which is responsible for specific mRNA codon recognition, and the 3' end, to which the tRNAs corresponding amino acid is attached (by aminoacyl-tRNA synthetases). tRNAs cope with the degeneracy of the genetic code in two manners: having more than one tRNA (with a specific anti-codon) for a particular amino acid; and 'wobble' base-pairing, i.e. permitting non-standard base-pairing at the 3rd anti-codon position.
Source: Rfam by way of RNAcentral